This 400-nucleotide ribosomal RNA is filed under the name uncultured bacterium. RNAcentral describes it as "bacterial SSU rRNA". It matches the Rfam family "Bacterial small subunit ribosomal RNA", at positions 356 to 773 of the family's 1533-position model. The record is from RNAcentral.
GGGGAAUAUUGCGCAAUGGGGGGAACCCUGACGCAGCAACGCCGCGUGGAGGAAGAAGGUCUUCGGAUUGUAAACUCCUGUCUUUUGGGACGAUAAUGACGGUACCAGAAGAGGAAGCCACGGCUAACUACGUGCCAGCAGCCGCGGUAAUACGUAGGUGGCGAGCGUUGUCCGGAAUUACUGGGCGUAAAGAGCGCGUAGGCGGUUAAUUAAGUCAGAUGUGAAAACCCGAGGCUUAACUUCGGGAUUGCAUUUGAAACUGGUUAACUUGAGUACAGGAGAGGUAAGUGGAAUUCCUAGUGUAGCGGUGAAAUGCGUAGAUAUUAGGAGGAACACCAGUGGCGAAGGCGACUUACUGGACUGUAACUGACGCUGAGGCGCGAGAGCGUGGGGAGCAAAC